RNAcentral lists this long non-coding RNA (323 nucleotides) under Equus caballus (horse). Its description in RNAcentral is "lncRNA (ENSECAG00000052563.1)". Lineage: Eukaryota; Metazoa; Chordata; Mammalia; Perissodactyla; Equidae. The record is from RNAcentral.
UGAGAGAUACUGCAUGACAUCUGGUUCUUCUUACUGGUCCAAGAAUUACAUUGGCAUGAGACAGAAUAACAGAAGAAAACCAAACAAUUUUAAUAGCAUGUACAUGUGGGAGAAACCCAGGAAAACUGAGAAGAUUAGCCCUGAGCUAACUGCUGCCAAUCUCCCUCUUUUUGCUGAGGAAGACUGGCCCUGAGCUAAUAUCCAUGCCCAUCUUCCUCUACUUUAUAUGUGGGACGCCUGACACAGCAUGGCUUGACAAGUGGUGCUAUGUCUGCAUCCAGCUUCAAACCGGCGAACCUCAGGCCUCCGAAGCGGAACGUGCG